UCAUAAUUAAGAUAUUGGGGGCUGUUUGGUAACUUUUGUACCUAAGUUGUAAGGAUUUUAAGGCUAAGGGUCCAAAUGGUAAUCAUCGGGUUUAUUUUGAAAGGAAUGGGGAAGGGAGGGACCACUUUUGGCGUUAUGAAAAACUAAUUAUGGGGAUCGGAGUAUUUAAACCCGUCACCCUGGUGAAGCCCUAACCCUAACAUCUUUAUGUCUAGCCGCAACUUGUACCUCUCGCUUCCAGCCUCCAAGCUCUCGGCCGCCACCUUCUAGCCGCCGUGACGCCGCUGCUAUCACCAGAGAUGCUUCCCCGACGAGUGCCAUUGAACCUGUGACUUGCUGAAGACCGACCAAAUCGCCUCCGAACCAUGGUCGGAAUCGCGAGUCCUACCAAGCUACCGCCGCUGGUGGUGUGAAGAUCUGCGAGGUCACAAUCUUGUUCCGUCGGUGUCACCACUGUGGACGAGGACUCAAAUCGACCACCACGUCUGUUGUAGCUAUCCAUAUCGCUAUUCAUCUUAUUCUUUUCUAUUUACCAUGUCGCCUGCCGCCUCGUGGGCGGGGGAGCUCGUGGCGUUCCUUCUAUCACCGGAGAAUAAGGGCAUGGUUCAGGGCUUGUGUUUGCGACGUGAACGCGCUGUGGGGGAGUUCUGUCGAGUUAGGGUCGCGAGAACCACCAUUGCAGCUGACCAUGGUGGUUGUCACCGUGAAACGGCCACUGCUGCCUCCGUAUGUCACCAGGAGGGUGGCUAAGUGAUUCAACCAGAAGUAUGGAUGGGUGUGCUUUUGUUUCCUCGGUGGACAUGUGUGUGUAUAGUGUAGCUUGGCCGGAAAAACCGAGAACCACCACCACCGGCCACCACAAGGUGGUUGUGUGUGUAUGUUUAUAUUUGUAUGUGUGAGUGUGUGUUAUUGAGUUGUAAAGUGUAAUGAUGCCCAAAAUAAUAAUAGAAAACUAUAACCACCACCAUGAGAUGGUGGCUGCCGCCUCCUGCUACCACCGGCCACCGUGUCGGGUGGCGGUGUGCUUGCCUCAUUGAGUUUGAUUCGUUUGGGGUGCUUGAAACCCUAAUGGGCCUUGUAAGCCCUAAUGGACCCCAUGAAGCUUAAUGGACCUAAAAGCCCAAGCAUGUGACUAAUGGGCUUAAUGAUAUUCUAGUGGGCCUAAUAUGCCGAAUAAAACCCUAAUUGACCUAAAAGCCCAACAAAUAGAUAAAUGGGCUAAUAUUUGGCUUGGAAACCCUAAUUAGGGUUUGGAAAACCCUAAUACCAAUAAAACCCUAAUUUUGAGAAUUUAUCGGGACACACGGGAAUUAUUUAAUAACUUGAGAUAUUAAAUAAUAAUCAUUGGCAAAAAUUAAUCUAAGCAAUAUUGGACUUAAUGGAUUAAGUCCAUAGUGGAUUAAGUCCUUAAUGGGUUAAGUGAGAAACACUUAACCCUAAUCAUCAUUUUAUGUGGAACCCUAAUUUCACUUGGUCCUUGAGUUGGGCCUUUCCAUUGGGCCUUGGUGAUGGGAUUAUUAAUGGGCCAUCCAAGAAUAAUCAUAUGGAUUAGAAUAUGUUGUUGGACUUUAGGGUAAGGCUCAUAUGAGAGUUUGGGCCCAAUUUGGAAAAUUGGGCCAUAGAUGGACCACAGUUUGGGUCUUAAUGAUUACAUGAUGUCAGGCCUUUGAAUAAGACCAUGUAUAGUCUUGGGCUCAAUUUAGAAAAUUGGGCCAUAUGUUGGGAUUUGAUUCCUAAUUGACUUUGGGCCUAUGGAUUGGGCCUUGGGCUUGAAUAGACCAAGCUUGGGGUAUUGUAGUAAUUAUCCAAAGAAUGAACUUAUGGUUAUGUGUUGGGAUCCAAUUAUUAAUUGGGUGAUGUUUUGAUAUUGACAGAUCGGGAUUCUGUCAUCCAACAACUGGGAUUGUGUCUACGGGACUUCAGCAAUGUGAGGUGAGUUACCUUCCAGUAGAAGUGGGUCUAAGGCCACAAUGUCGGCCCACUAGUAGGAGCUGUAUGAUAGAUGAUUGUCUUUGUGAUAAUCAUCUAGGUUUGCUACUACCUGAUGUGUUUUAUGUGUUAGCAUGAUAUGAUGUUAUGUGAUAGUGGUAGUAGAGGGAAUAGUCCCCGGUUACUGGUCGAUAGGGCCGAAGGGGUAGUUUAGUACCAUCUAUGCUAGACAGAUUAUGAUACAUGUGCUAUGAUAUUAUGUGGUAGUAGUAGGGGUGAAAUAGUCCCCGAAUACCGGUUGAAAGAUAUCGAAGGGGUAGGUCGGGCACCCAGAUAUGCCUGACAAUAUAUUCAUGUAUAUUAUGUUAUGUUAUUAUGUGGUAGUG
Molecule: long non-coding RNA, 2315 nt
Filed under: Lactuca sativa (garden lettuce)
Lineage: Eukaryota; Viridiplantae; Streptophyta; Magnoliopsida; Asterales; Asteraceae
Description: long non-coding RNA (LSAT_LNC007199)
Source: RNAcentral